Molecule: transfer RNA, 60 nt
Filed under: Plutella xylostella (diamondback moth)
Lineage: Eukaryota; Metazoa; Arthropoda; Insecta; Lepidoptera; Plutellidae
Description: tRNA-Ser
Source: RNAcentral
GACCGAAUGGCGUAGUGGUUAGUGACCCGAUGGUCCCGGGUUCGAUUCCCGGCUGGGGCA